AACAAACGCUGGCGGCGUGCUUAAUACAUGCAAGUCGAACGUGAUGUGUAGCAAUACACUGAAAGUGGCGAACGGGUGAGUAACACGUAAAUAAUCUGCCCCUAAGUUUGGGAUAACCUUGCCAACGCGAGGCUAAUACCGGAUGUGGUCAUGGAAACGCAUGUUUUUGUGACUAAAGGCGUAAGUCGCUUAGGGAUGAGUUUGCGGCCCAUUAUGCUUGUUGGCGGGGUAACGGCCCACCAAGGCUUCGAUGGGUAGCCGGCCUGAGAGGGUGUACGGCCACAUUGGGACUGAGAUACGGCCCAGACUCCUACGGGAGGCAG
RNAcentral lists this ribosomal RNA (323 nucleotides) under uncultured Fibrobacterota bacterium. RNAcentral's name for it is "bacterial SSU rRNA". It matches the Rfam family "Bacterial small subunit ribosomal RNA", at positions 29 to 351 of the family's 1533-position model. Lineage: Bacteria; Pseudomonadati; Fibrobacterota. The record is from RNAcentral.